AUGGCUGUCGUCAGCUCGUGUCGUGAGGUGUCGGGUUAAGUCCCAUAACGAGCGCAACCCCUAUUUUUAGUUACCAGCGAGUAAUGUCGGGAACUCUAGAAAGACUGCCUGUGUAAACAGUGAGGAAGGUGGGGAUGACGUCAAAUCAUCACGGCCCUUAUGUCUUGGGCUACACACGUGUUACAAUGGUUACUACAGUGGGCUGCCAUCUGGCAACAGAGAGCAAAUCCAUAAAGGUAAUCCCAGUUCGGAUCGGAGUCUGCAACUCGACUCUGUGAAGUUGGAUUCGCUAGUAAUCGUAUAUCAGCAAUGAUACGGUGAAUACGUUCCCGGGCCUUGUACACACCGCCCGUCAAGCCAUGGAAGUUUGUGGUGCCUGAAGUCAGUAGCCGUAAGGAGCUGCCUAGGGUAAAACAGAUAACUAGGGCUAAGUCGUAACAAGGUAGCCGUACCGGAAGGUGUGGCUGGAAUAUCUCUUUUUUUGAGUAUUGUUUGUGUUAAUUCUAUCUUCUUUUUUCCCUUUUUGAGUCUCGUAGCUCAGCUGGUUAGAGCGCUACACUGAUAAUGUAGAGGCCGGCAGUUCGAGUCUGCCCGGGACUACUUUAUAGAGGGGGGAUUAGCUCAGCUGGCUAGAGCGCCUGCCUUGCACGCAGGAGGUCAUCGGUUCGACUCCGAUAUUCUCCACAUCAAAGUUCUUUGACAUAUUGUAAUGAAUAUAUAUACUUAAUUUUUAAAAGUUAUUAAGGGCGUAUGGCGGAUGCCUAGGCUCUCAAAGGCGACGAAGGACGUGACAAGCUGCGAUAAGUUUCGAUAAGGUGCAAAUAACCGUUUAAUCGAAAAUUUCCGAAUGGGGAAACCCGG
Molecule: small RNA, 861 nt
Filed under: uncultured bacterium
Lineage: Bacteria
Description: bacterial SSU rRNA
Rfam family: Bacterial small subunit ribosomal RNA (bases 1-480)
Source: RNAcentral